RNAcentral lists this ribosomal RNA (254 nucleotides) under uncultured bacterium. RNAcentral describes it as "partial 16S ribosomal RNA". It matches the Rfam family "Bacterial small subunit ribosomal RNA", at positions 524 to 776 of the family's 1533-position model. The record is from RNAcentral.
UACGUAGGGUGCGAGCGUUGUCCGGAAUUAUUGGGCGUAAAGAGCUCGUAGGCGGUCUGUCGCGUCGGUCGUGAAAACUUGGGGCUUAACCCUGAGCUUGCGGUCGAUACGGGCAUGACUGGAGUUCGGCAGGGGAGACUGGAAUUCCUGGUGUAGCGGUGAAAUGCGCAGAUAUCAGGAGGAACACCGGUGGCGAAGGCGGGUCGCUGGGCCGAUACUGACGCUGAGGAGCGAAAGCGUGGGGAGCAAACAGG